RNAcentral lists this ribosomal RNA (1134 nucleotides) under uncultured bacterium. RNAcentral describes it as "bacterial SSU rRNA". It matches the Rfam family "Bacterial small subunit ribosomal RNA", at positions 197 to 1300 of the family's 1533-position model. The record is from RNAcentral.
CGGAUGAAAGUGGGGGAUCGCAAGACCUCAUGCUCAUGGAGCGGCCGAUAUUUGAUUAGCUAGUUGGUGGGGUAAAGGCCUACCAAGGCAUCGAUCAGUAGCUGGUCUGAGAGGACGACCAGCCACACUGGAACUGAGACACGGUCCAGACUCCUACGGGAGGCAGCAGUGGGGAAUUUUGGACAAUGGGGGCAACCCUGAUCCAGCAAUGCCGCGUGAGUGAAGAAGGCCUUCGGGUUGUAAAGCUCUUUUGUCAGGGAAGAAACGGUGAGGGCUAAUAUCCUUUGCUAAUGACGGUACCUGAAGAAUAAGCACCGGCUAACUACGUGCCAGCAGCCGCGGUAAUACGUAGGGUGCGAGCGUUAAUCGGAAUUACUGGGCGUAAAGCGUGCGCAGGCGGUUUGGCAAGUCAGAUGUGAAAUCCCCGAGCUCAACUUGGGAACUGCGUUUGAAACUGCCAGACUAGAAUAUGUCAGAGGGGGGUAGAAUUCCACGUGUAGCAGUGAAAUGCGUAGAGAUGUGGAGGAAUACCAAUGGCGAAGGCAGCCCCCUGGGAUAAUAUUGACGCUCAUGCACGAAAGCGUGGGGAGCAAACAAAGAAUAGGAUUACCCCUGGUUAUUCCACGCCCUCAAACGAUGUUUUAUUAGUUGUUGGUGGAGUAAAAACCAAGAGUAACGCAAGCUAAACGCGCGAAGUAGAACCGCCUGGGGAGUGCGGUCGCACGACUAAAACUCAAAGGAAUAGACGGGGGCCCGCACAAGCGGUGGAGUAUGUGGAUUAAUUCGAUGCAACGCGAAAAACCUUACCUGGCCUUGACAUGCCACUAACGAAGCAGAGAUGCAUUAGGUGCCCGCAAGGGAAAGAGGACACAGGUGCUGCAUGGCUGUCGUCAGCUCGUGUCGUGAGAUGAUGGGGUAAGUCCCGCAACGAGCGCAACCCCUGCCAUCAAUCGCCAUCAUUUAGUUGGGCGCUUUAAUGGGACUGCCGGCGCCAAACCGGAGGAAGGGGGGGAGGAGGUCAAGUCCUCAUGGCCCUUCUGGCCAGGGCUUCACACUUAAUACAAUGGUCGGUACAGAGAGUGGCCAACCCGCGAGGUGGAGGUAAUUUCAGAAAGCCGAUCGUAGUCCGGAUUG